AUUCUGUUAAAAGAAAUUUUCAUUUUCUUUACAUCUUAAAAUACAGAAUU
RNAcentral lists this transfer RNA (50 nucleotides) under Panonychus citri (citrus red mite). Its description in RNAcentral is "tRNA-Glu". Lineage: Eukaryota; Metazoa; Arthropoda; Arachnida; Trombidiformes; Tetranychidae. The record is from RNAcentral.